This 402-nucleotide ribosomal RNA is filed under the name uncultured eukaryote. RNAcentral describes it as "bacterial SSU rRNA". It matches the Rfam family "Eukaryotic small subunit ribosomal RNA", at positions 592 to 1014 of the family's 1831-position model. The record is from RNAcentral.
CAAUAGCGUAUAUUAAAGUUGUUGCAGUUAAAAGCUCGUAGUUGAAUUUUAUGGCUUGUAUUGGUUGGUCAUUCGAUCGCCAAUGCAUGUCAUUUCGACAUUGAACCUAGAUUGAUAUUAAGUUAUCAUUUAGGCGAACUGUCAUUUUACUUUGAAAAAUUAGAGUGUUUCAGGCAGGCUUAGCCCGAAUAUCUUAGCAUGGAAUAAUGGAAUAGGACUUUGGUUCAUUUUAUUGGUUAUUGAAUCAGAGUAAUGAUUAAUAGGGACAGUUGGGGGCAUUAGUAUUUAAUUGUCAGAGGUGAAAUUCUUGGAUUUAUUAAAGACUAACUUAUGCGAAAGCAUUUGCCAAGGAUGUUUUCAUUAAUCAAGAACGAAAGUUAGGGGAUCAAAGAUGAUCAGAUA